UACGUAGGGUGCGAGCGUUAAUCGGAAUUACUGGGCGUAAAGCGCGCGUAGGCGGCUUUGCAAGUCGGGUGUGAAAUCCCCAGGCUUAACCUGGGAACUGCAUUCGAGACUGCAUUGCUAGAGUAUGGGAGAGGGAAGUGGAAUUUCCGGUGUAGCGGUGAAAUGCGUAGAUAUCGGAAGGAACAUCAGUGGCGAAAGCGACUUCCUGGACCAAUACUGACGCUCAUGUGCGAAAGCGUGGGGAUCAAACAGG
RNAcentral lists this ribosomal RNA (253 nucleotides) under uncultured bacterium. Its description in RNAcentral is "partial 16S ribosomal RNA". It matches the Rfam family "Bacterial small subunit ribosomal RNA", at positions 524 to 776 of the family's 1533-position model. The record is from RNAcentral.